Molecule: ribosomal RNA, 459 nt
Filed under: uncultured bacterium
Lineage: Bacteria
Description: partial 16S ribosomal RNA
Rfam family: Bacterial small subunit ribosomal RNA
Source: RNAcentral
CCUACGGGUGGCAGCAGUGAGGAAUAUUGGUCAAUGGGCGGGAGCCUGAACCAGCCAAGCCGCGUGAGGGAAGAAGGUACUGCGUAUUGUAAACCUCUUUUGUCAGGGAACAAAGGCGGGGACUAGUCCCCGGAUGAGGGUACCUGAAGAAAAAGCAUCGGCUAACUCCGUGCCAGCAGCCGCGGUAAUACGGAGGAUGCGAGCGUUAUCCGGAUUUAUUGGGUUUAAAGGGUGCGCAGGCGGCCUGUUAAGUCAGCGGUAAAAGUCCGGGGCUCAACCCCGGCGAGCCGUUGAAACUGGCGGGCUGGAGUUGGAGAGAAGUACGCGGAAUGCGCGGUGUAGCGGUGAAAUGCAUAGAUAUCGCGCAGAACCCCGAUUGCGAAGGCAGCGUACCGGCUCCACACUGACGCUGAGGCACGAAAGCGUGGGGAUCGAACAGGAUUAGAUACCCGAGUAGUC